UUUUUUNNNNNNCUCAGGAUGAACGCUGGCGGCGUGCCUAAUACAUGCAAGUCGAACGCUUUGUCUUUAAUUGAUCUGACGAGCUUGCUCUGAUGUGAUUUUAUCUGACAAAGAGUGGCGAACGGGUGAGUAACACGUGGGUAACCUACCUCUUAGCAGGGGAUAACAUUUGGAAACAAGUGCUAAUACCGUAUAAUACCAACAACCGCAUGGUUGUUGGUUGAAAGAUGGUUCUGCUAUCACUAAGAGAUGGACCCGCGGUGCAUUAGCUAGUUGGUAAGGUAAUGGCUUACCAAGGCAAUGAUGCAUAGCCGAGUUGAGAGACUGAUCGGCCACAAUGGGACUGAGACACGGCCCAUACUCCUACGGGAGGCAGCAGUAGGGAAUCUUCCACAAUGGGCGCAAGCCUGAUGGAGCAACGCCGCGUGUGUGAUGAAGGGUUUCGGCUCGUAAAACACUGUUAUAAGAGAAGAACGGCACUGAGAGUAACUGUUCAGUGUGUGACGGUAUCUUACCAGAAAGGAACGGCUAAAUACGUGCCAGCAGCCGCGGUAAUACGUAUGUUCCAAGCGUUAUCCGGAUUUAUUGGGCGUAAAGCGAGCGCAGACGGUUAUUUAAGUCUGAAGUGAAAGCCCUCAGCUCAACUGAGGAAUGGCUUUGGAAACUGGAUGACUUGAGUGCAGUAGAGGAAAGUGGAACUCCAUGUGUAGCGGUGAAAUGCGUAGAUAUAUGGAAGAACACCAGUGGCGAAGGCGGCUUUCUGGACUGUAACUGACGUGNGCUCG
Molecule: ribosomal RNA, 785 nt
Filed under: Weissella paramesenteroides
Lineage: Bacteria; Bacillati; Bacillota; Bacilli; Lactobacillales; Lactobacillaceae
Description: bacterial SSU rRNA
Rfam family: Bacterial small subunit ribosomal RNA
Source: RNAcentral